Molecule: transfer RNA, 78 nt
Filed under: Gammaproteobacteria bacterium
Lineage: Bacteria; Pseudomonadati; Pseudomonadota; Gammaproteobacteria
Description: tRNA-Arg
Rfam family: tRNA
About the family: Transfer RNA (tRNA) molecules are approximately 80 nucleotides in length.
Source: RNAcentral
GCGCCCGUAGCUCAGUUGGAUUAGAGUGCUUGGCUACGAACCAAGAGGUCGGGAGUUCGAGUCUCUCCGGGCGCGCCA